RNAcentral lists this ribosomal RNA (407 nucleotides) under uncultured bacterium. RNAcentral describes it as "partial 16S ribosomal RNA". It matches the Rfam family "Bacterial small subunit ribosomal RNA", at positions 30 to 526 of the family's 1533-position model. The record is from RNAcentral.
AUUGAACGCUGGCGGCAGGCCUAACACAUGCAAGUCGAGCGGAGCGGCGGACGGGCGAGUAAUGCCUAGGAAUCUGCCUUGUCUUGGGGGAUAACGUCCGGAAACGGGCGCUAAUACCGCAUACUCUCUGAUGCGCCUAGGUCGGAUUAGCUAGGUGGUGGGGUAAAGGCCUACCAAGGCGACGAUCCGUAACUGGUCUGAGAGGAUGAUCCGUCACAAUGGAACUGAGACACGGUCCAGACUCCUACGUGAGGCAGCAGUGGGGAAUAUUGUACAAUGGGCGAAAGCCUGAUCCAGCCAUGCCGCGUGUGUGAAGAAGGUCUUCGGAUUGUAAAGCACUUUAAGUUGGGAGGCGUUACCAACAGAAUAAGCAACGGCGAACGUCGUGCCAGCAGCCGCGGUAAUAC